This 590-nucleotide ribosomal RNA is filed under the name uncultured bacterium. RNAcentral's name for it is "bacterial SSU rRNA". It matches the Rfam family "Bacterial small subunit ribosomal RNA", at positions 338 to 945 of the family's 1533-position model. The record is from RNAcentral.
CCUACGGGAGGCAGCAGUGGGGAAUUUUCCGCAAUGGGCGCAAGCCUGACGGAGCAACGCCGCGUGAGGGAUGAAGGCCUCUGGGCUGUAAACCUCUUUUCUCAAGGAAGAAGACCUGACGGUACUUGAGGAAUAAGCCACGGCUAAUUCCGUGCCAGCAGCCGCGGUAAUACGGGAGUGGCAAGCGUUAUCCGGAAUUAUUGGGCGUAAAGCGUCCGCAGGCGGCCUAUUAAGUCUGUCGUUAAAGCGUGGAGCUCAACUCCAUUUAAGCGAUGGAAACUGGAAGGCUAGAGUGUGGUAGGGGCAGAGGGAAUUCCCGGUGUAGCGGUGAAAUGCGUAGAUAUCGGGAAGAACACCAGUGGCGAAGGCGCUCUGCUGGGCCAUAACUGACGCUCAUGGACGAAAGCCAGGGGAGCGAAAGGGAUUAGAUACCCCUGUAGUCCUGGCCGUAAACGAUGAACACUAGGUGUCGGGGAAUCGACCCCUCGGUGUCGUAGCUAACGCGUUAAGUGUUCCGCCUGGGGAGUCGCACGCAAGUGUGAAACUCAAAUGAAUUGACGGCUGNGAGNGCGAGCGACGACGAGGAGAGG